GAUGAACGCUGGCGGCGUGCCUAAUACAUGCAAGUCGAGCGAACGGACGAGAAGCUUGCUUCUCUGAUGUUAGCGGCGGACGGGUGAGUAACACGUGGAUAACCUACCUAUAAGACUGGGAUAACUUCGGGAAACCGGAGCUAAUACCGGAUGAUAUUUUGAACCGCAUGGUUCAAAAGUGAAAGACGGUCUUGCUGUCACUGAUAGAUGGAUCCGCGCUGCAUUAGCUAGUUGGUAAGGUAACGGCUUACCAAGGCAACGAUGCAUAGCCGACCUGAGAGGGUGAUCGGCCACACUGGAACUGAGACACGGUCCAGACUCCUACGGGAGGCAGCAGUAGGGAAUCUUCCGCAAUGGGCGAAAGCCUGACGGAGCAACGCCGCGUGAGUGCUGAAGGUCUUCGGAUCGUAAAACUCUGUUAUUAGGGAAGAACAUAUGUGUAAGUAACUGUGCACAUCUUGACGGUACCUAAUCAGAAAGCCCCGGCUAACUACGUG
RNAcentral lists this ribosomal RNA (497 nucleotides) under uncultured bacterium. Its description in RNAcentral is "partial 16S ribosomal RNA". It matches the Rfam family "Bacterial small subunit ribosomal RNA", at positions 28 to 507 of the family's 1533-position model. The record is from RNAcentral.